This is a non-coding RNA of Acanthosepion pharaonis, 106 nucleotides long. Lineage: Eukaryota; Metazoa; Mollusca; Cephalopoda; Sepiida; Sepiidae. The record is from the annotation of a GenBank genome assembly.
ACAUCACGUUGAAAUACCGGUUCCUUUACGAAGACCGAAGUUAAGCAACGUUGAACCUGGUCAGUACAUAGAUGGGUGACCGCUUGGAAAUACCAGGUGCUGUAAG